AACGGAGGGUGCAAGCGUUGUUCGGAAUUACUGGGCGUAAAGCGCGUGCAGGCGGUUUUUUAAGUUUCGUGUGAAAUCCCCCGGCUUAACUGGGGAACUGCGCGGAAAACUGGAAGACUUGAAUACGGGAGAAGAGGGCGGAAUUCCCAGUGUAGAGGUGAAAUUCGUAGAGAUUGGGAGGAACACCGGCGGCGAAAGCGGCUCUCUAGACCGAUAUUGACGCUCAUACGCGAGAGCGUGGGUAGCAAACAGG
RNAcentral lists this ribosomal RNA (253 nucleotides) under uncultured bacterium. Its description in RNAcentral is "partial 16S ribosomal RNA". It matches the Rfam family "Bacterial small subunit ribosomal RNA", at positions 524 to 776 of the family's 1533-position model. The record is from RNAcentral.